This 253-nucleotide ribosomal RNA is filed under the name uncultured bacterium. RNAcentral describes it as "partial 16S ribosomal RNA". It matches the Rfam family "Bacterial small subunit ribosomal RNA", at positions 524 to 776 of the family's 1533-position model. The record is from RNAcentral.
UACGAAGGGGGCUAGCGUUGUUCGGAAUUACUGGGCGUAAAGCGCACGUAGGCGGUUAUUUAAGUCAGGGGUGAAAUCCUGGAGCUCAACUCCAGAACUGCCUUUGAUACUGAAGAUCUUGAGUUCGGGAGAGGUGAGUGGAACUGCGAGUGUAGAGGUGAAAUUCGUAGAUAUUCGCAAGAACACCAGUGGCGAAGGCGGCUCACUGGCCCGAUACUGACGCUGAGGCACGAAAGCGUGGGGAGCAAACAGG